RNAcentral lists this ribosomal RNA (253 nucleotides) under uncultured bacterium. RNAcentral describes it as "partial 16S ribosomal RNA". It matches the Rfam family "Bacterial small subunit ribosomal RNA", at positions 524 to 776 of the family's 1533-position model. The record is from RNAcentral.
UACGUAGGGUGCGAGCGUUGUCCGGAAUUAUUGGGCGUAAAGGGCUCGUAGGCGGUUUGUCGCGUCGGGAGUGAAAUCAUCUGGCUUAACUGGGUGCUUGCUUUCGAUACGGGCAGACUAGAGGUAUGCAGGGGAGAACGGAAUUCCUGGUGUAGCGGUGAAAUGCGCAGAUAUCAGGAGGAACACCGGUGGCGAAGGCGGUUCUCUGGGCAUGAUCUGAUGCUGAGGAGCGAAAGUGUGGGGAGCGAACAGG